AUGAACGCUGGCGGCGUGCCUAAUCCAUGCCAGUCGAGCGAACAGACGAGGAGCUUGCUCCUCUGACGUUAGCGGCGGACGGGUGAGUAACACGUGGAUAACCUACCUAUAAGACUGGGAUAACUUCGGGAAACCGGAGCUAAUACCGGAUAAUGUAUUGAACCGCAUGGUUCAAUAGUGAAAGACGGUUUUGCUGUCACUUAUAGAUGGAUCCGCGCCGCAUUAGCUAGUUGGUAAGGUAACGGCUUACCAAGGCAACGAUGCGUAGCCGACCUGAGAGGGUGAUCGGCCACACUGGAACUGAGACACGGUCCAGACUCCUACGGGAGGCAGCAGUAGGGAAUCUUCCGCAAUGGGCGAAAGCUUGACGGAGCAACGCCGCGUGAGUGAUGAAGGUCUUCGGAUCGUAAAACUCUGUUAUUAGGGAAGAACAAAUGUGUAAGUAACUAUGCACGUCUUGACGGUACCUAAUCAGAAAGCCACGGCUAACUACGUG
Molecule: ribosomal RNA, 496 nt
Filed under: uncultured bacterium
Lineage: Bacteria
Description: partial 16S ribosomal RNA
Rfam family: Bacterial small subunit ribosomal RNA
Source: RNAcentral